Molecule: long non-coding RNA, 4562 nt
Filed under: Medicago truncatula (barrel medic)
Lineage: Eukaryota; Viridiplantae; Streptophyta; Magnoliopsida; Fabales; Fabaceae
Description: long non-coding RNA (MTRU_LNC005087)
Source: RNAcentral
UGCCACGUUAGCGUUGACCGAGUCAACACUGGACUGGGGGUUCAAAACUGCCAAAGAAUCAAAACAUAGGGGGCUGUUUUGUAUUUAAAUUAGUUAGGGGUCCAUAACCGCAACUUUUGGAAAGAUAGAGGUCCAAAAGUGCAAUUAAGCCUUUAUUUAAACAUCUUUCAUCAAUAAUUCAAAUUACAUCGCAGCGGAAAAACAUUUCAUUAUUCAACAAAAUGGCACUACGGCAUCAACAUAAACAACUUAUUAAAAUUUCAUUCUAGGUAGUUCAUCAACAUAAUUCAUAAUAAUACGUAACAAAUGAAAAACAACACAAAUAUCUCCAUUCCGUUACGUAUCAGAGAGACCCUAAGACGACGCGUGAGAGAGUCAACUCACUUCAACAACUAAUCCUGGUUAUCUGCACGUUACCCACGUAGACACAACGCGUUAGACCAAAUCCAAUGGAAAGCUAACAAAAUUAUCUAAAACUUUCAUGUUUACACCAAAGGCCAAUUCAAAACCGAAACGUGUGAAAAAGACGCAAGAACAUAAAACAGGGUAUGCUAUCACUGUGCAAUUUCGCUAAUGGCGAAAAGUUAGCUAGUAGCGAAAUUGUUACAGAGGAUUUCGCCAAUAGCGAACUUCUAGCGAGUUUUUCCCCUGCUGUUACGAUUUCUGCACAUUUUUCACCCAAAAAACCCAAAUUUCAUCUACCCAAAUCCCAAAUUUGAUAGGAAACUUAACCUAUGAUUAUUCUACAAUCUGAAUAACAAUUCUCACCAUGAUUCAUUGGAUUACAUACACUUUCAAAAAUCAAAUUGAAAUUCAAAACCUAAUUUCAUUAACAUCAUAAUUUCAAUAAUCAAUUUUAACCCGAAUUUCUAUAACAACAAAACUAACAAGGCUAAACUGCAUUUUUCACCCCCUAUGUUUCAAAAUAUUGCAAUUUUGGUCCCCUAUUAAAAAAAUAGCAAUUUUGGCCCCUUUCAUCCAAAAAUUGUUGAGAAGACGCCACAUGUCCCAAAAAAGGGGCCAUAAUCACAACUUUUUGUAAAGAUAAGGGGUCAAAAAACAUAUUUCCCUUAUGUUAGGAGGUCAAAAGAGCGUAUUUCCCUAAACAUAGGGGGUCACUUUUGCCAUUUUUUUUAAUAGGGGGUCAAAAUUGCAACAUUUUAAAACUUAGAGGGUGAAAAGUGAAGUUUAGCCAACUAACAAAACAACAUGUUAAACCCCUAUUCCAGAAUUAUAAACCUAAUUCCUAUAACAUCAAAACUAACAACAACUACAAGGUUAAACCCUUUUCAGAAUUAUACAACUCAUUAUUAGAGAAAGCUAGUCCCACCCUUACCUUAGAUUAGAUGAUCGGACUCUACAAGAUUGUUCCUCCUAUCUCACAAGAUUCUUCUCUUCUCUGACUUCUCACUUUCUCCCUUUUUCUCCCAAAAACUGUUUUCACGUAAUCCUUAUUUUCUAAUUCUAACUCUCCCCUUGUAUAUAAGUCCUUAACCUACUUAUUUUCUCUUAUUUCCAAAUCUGUCAUCCAAGUCUCAAUAUUCUAUUCUAAUAUAUAUAUAAAAUAUUUCUAUAAAAAAUAACAAAUAUAUUUAUACACCAGAUAACAUAUAUAUUUCUACACCAAAUAACAAAUAUAUUCCUACACCACAUAACAUAUAUUUCCACACCAAAUAACAUAAUAUUUCCACACCAAAUAACAUAAUAUUUCUACACCAAAUAUCAUAAUAUAUUAUACUAAUAAAUACCAACAUAUAAUAUAACAAAAUAUUACUCAUCAAAAUAAAUCGACUAAAUUAUAAAAAGACAUCUAAACUCAAUAAAAUAAAUAAAUAAUAAAAUAGGGUUUACAACAUGCAUACAAGUCUAUGUGAGAGCCGUGAUUUGAUUAUGUGAAUAUAUGUGAAGAUGUGUGCCUAAUGAUGUGUGUUCAUGUGAUAUUUGGUGAUGGUGUCGAAGCAUGAAUUAUAUAUUUUUGAUUUAGCGAUGAAGUGAUAAUGCAAUUACUUUUUAUAUCAUGUGUUUAUGAUAUGAGAUUUAAUAUGUUUGUUGAUUGACUAAGUAUGAAUGUAAUGAUGAUAGUUUAGGAAAUGAAUAUGUAUAUCCAUAUGCGAUGUUUUAAAUUCCUAAAUACUAUGCUUUUAUUCAUAUCUUUUUAUGUGAAUGUUGAUCUUACCCUCUAGUGGCAAUUUGGUCGCUUGAUCGACGUGAGUACCGGAGGAGGACUUGAGGCCUAUCCUCCUUCUUUGCUUUUGUUUUUGGAGUCUUAGUGGUUGUACUAUGAUUAGGGUGUUUGGGAGACUAUUUAUCUUUACUUUUGGAUUUUUAUGUUUUAGAGGAGCUUAGAGUUAUCUGGAUGAUGUAGUAUGAGAUGUUGAGAUGAUAACUUUAUGUUGUGACUCCGCUGCGACUGUUUUAUGAUUAUAAUGAUUUAUGACUAUUUUGGAUUUAUGAUGAAGUAGCACCUUGAACCUUUGUGAUUAUCUGUUGAUUUAUUAUUAAAUAUCGUAUUGGGGUUUGAGAGAGUUACAUGAUUGACAUUUUUUUAUACUACAACUUAGACAGUGUAUACUUGCACUAAGUUUUUCCACCUUAAAAUAUUUAGUGUUUUGGGAGACACCACAAGUGCAGAAACAAACAAAGAAAUUCAAUGACAAAGAAAAUAUAACAAGUCAUUUUAUUAGAAGCAAAGUAAUUUCAAAUGACUACUCAACGACAUUAUCUAUUUGAGGCAAUUUGAUGUGCUAUAACUUCUUCAACAACCGCUCUCUUGUUCUCUCAUAUAUAAGGACCUUAGCAGUUGAAUAAAGACAACAAGACUUAUAUCAUUUUUCACAAGUCCCUUACUCUAUUUGCCAUGAUCUUCAUUUCUCUAUUUGUUGUUGCAUUGAAUGUUGACGGUAAGCCAUUUUGUAUCAUCAAUGCAAAAUACAUAUGAUAAGAAAGAGUUCAUAUGAUUGGUCAUUUUUUUAUAUUACCUUUUUACAAAGUUUACUGCAAAGACACACAACACUUUAAUGUAUUUAAGACAUAAUUAAUUAUAAGUUUUUAAAAAAUACUAACACAACUCACUCAAGUACUUAAGAGAUAGGUAAUAAAAAUUUUGGUUUUCUUGAAGGUUUUUUUUACUCCUCCAUCAGCUCUAAAGCCUAGCCUUAAAUGUUUUUUUUAUUAAAACUGUUCAUUGAGUGCAAAGAUAAUGUGCAUAAAAAUUGUAAAAUCUAUAAGAUUUGAACAAAUCCAUACUCCAUCAUUGAUUAAGUUUGUAUAUGCAUUAAAAUAUAUUUGUUAGCUUGUUCAAGAUCCAACACUAAACAUUAUAUUUAUUGAUAUUGUUCAUAGAUUCAAAUAAAUAUUAUAAACAUAAAGGACAACACAAAUAUACUCUAUCAGUUGUCAAAUAUAAGCAAAUUUUGACUUUUUAGAUUUAUUCCAUUAAAAAUGUAUGUGGUCUAUAAUAUAGACCACAUACAUCGUUAAUUGAAUGAACCUAGAAAAUCAAAAUUUGAUUAUAAUUAACAAUGGAGGAAGUAUAUAGUAGUUAUAGCUCUGAUUUGGCUUAAAGUUCACAUGAAAUCCUUUUUUUAUUUUAUACUUUUUAGUGAUUUUCCUCUCUAUCAUCAAAGUUUAUUGAAUAAUAAUGAAUUUUUAUGAUUGAUAAGUUUUUUUAUGUGACAUAUUUACUAAGGGUGUUAAAAAGACAAACACAACUCAUUAAUGUACUAAAGAGAUGUUACAACUCAUUAAUAUAUUAAAGAGAUGUUUAAUAAUGAUUAUUAAUUUAUGAAGGUUUUUUACAUCUCCAUCGGCUCUUGAAUUAUUUACAGUUUUUAAGGUGAGAAUUAGCUUUAUAAGUCAUAAAGUGAUAAAACCAUAUUCUAUUUCUUACAUGCAUAUGGAAGAAAGUAUGGCUGAAAAGUUAAGUUUGUUUAUGUUAUGAUUAUCUUUAUUUCUCUCUUUUUUGUUGCAAUGAAUGUUGAUGGGACGUCAUUUUGUAUCAUCGAUGCAAAAUACAUAUGAUAAGAAAGAGUUCUUAUGAUUAGUUAAUUUUUUUAUGUUACCUUUUUCCUAAGGUUACUAAAAGACACACAACACUUUAAUGUACUUAAGACAAAUCUAAUUAUAAGUGUUCAAAAAUUACUAAUAACACGCCAAGGUACUCAAGAGUAACAUAAUAAACUUUUUAGUUUUAUGAAGGGUUUUUUCCUCCUCCAUCAGCUUUAAAGCCUAGCUCUAAUCUUUUUUAUUAAAACUAUUUGUUGUUCAUUGUGUGCAAAGAUAAUGUGUAUAAAAACUGUAAAAUCUAUGAGAGAUCUAUAAGAUUUGAACAAAUCCAUACCCAAUCUUUGAUCAAGUCUGUAUUUCCAUUAAAUGCAUUGAAACAUACUUUUUAGCUUGUUCAAGAUCCAACACUAAACAUUAUAUUUAUUGAUAUUGUUAAUAGAUUGUAAUCAUUAUAAAAACAAAGGACAAUAUAUAUAUAUUAGUUAUACCUUUGAUUUGGUUCAAAGUUCACAUGAAAUCCUUUUUUUUUUCUCUUCUUUUUUGUGAUUUUCCCUUUC